Brassica oleracea var. oleracea is the source of this 117-nucleotide long non-coding RNA. RefSeq lists it as uncharacterized. NCBI's taxonomy places the organism in Eukaryota, Viridiplantae, Streptophyta, Magnoliopsida, Brassicales, Brassicaceae. The transcript has 3 exons. The record is from RefSeq and is a predicted model, not a curated record.
GAGCUACACCGAGCUGGCUUCACUUGAAACUAUGUUAAAGGAGGGCUGUCGCAUUGUGGAAGAACAAACAGAUAAGGCACAGCAGGAACAAUUACUCAGGGAGAUUGUUGAUUGCGA